This 468-nucleotide ribosomal RNA is filed under the name uncultured bacterium. RNAcentral describes it as "partial 16S ribosomal RNA". It matches the Rfam family "Bacterial small subunit ribosomal RNA", at positions 28 to 507 of the family's 1533-position model. The record is from RNAcentral.
GACGAACGCUGGCGGCGUGCUUAACACAUGCAAGUCGAACGGUGAAGCUCCAGCUUGCUGGAGUGGAUCAGUGGCGAACGGGUGAGUAACACGUGAGCAACCUGCCCCUGACUCUGGAAUAAGCGCUGGAAACGGCGUCUAAUACUGGAUACGAGAAGGGUCCGCAUGGGCACUUUCUGGAAAGUUUUUCGGUUGGGGAUGGGCUCGCGGCCUAUCAGCUUGUUGGUGAGGUAAUGGCUCACCAAGGCGACGACGGGUAGCCGGCCUGGGAGGGCGACCGGCCACGCUGGGACUGAGACACGGCCCAGACUCCAACGGGAGGCAGCAGUGGGGAAUAUUGCACAGUGGGCGAAGGCCUGAUGCAGCGACGCCGCGUGGGGGAUGACGGCCUUCGGGUUGUAAACCUCUUUCAGCAGAGAAGAAGCGAAAGUGACGGUACCUGCAGAAGAAGCACCGGCUAACUACGUG